This 424-nucleotide long non-coding RNA is filed under the name Homo sapiens (human). Lineage: Eukaryota; Metazoa; Chordata; Mammalia; Primates; Hominidae. The record is from RNAcentral.
CCCCGAGGGUUCGCGUGAGCGGAGCACGGGGCUCGGGGUGCGGGGGGCUGGUGUGAUGGACGCAUUUGUUCUUCGGUCCCUGACGAUUGUUUCUCAUUUGCCCUCCAAGCCCCAAAUCCUGUCAGUCCACGGCCUUGAUGGAGCGGCCCCCGUGGGACGACCCUGUUGAUUGUGCUAGCGGAUGUUGUCUCCAUUCUGGAUCUGGGAAAAACUGUGGAGUGAAAGCCGGACCUGUUAGGGUUGGGACCUGAAAGCGGACUUUUUCGCUCUCAGACGGGCCCCAGGAAUUUCAUGUUUAACAGAGGUGUCUUCAAGGAGAUGAAACAAUUCAGAAUGACCUAGGCAAUGGGGUAAUUCCUAAGACCCCACCACCGUGCCCUGAGGAAGCCCAAACAACCCAUGGAGACAUCCGCAUGGAGAGACC